GCGGAGGAUCAUUGUCGUUGCCUCUCGAAAACACGACCGUUGCACGCGUGACAGAAUGCUGCCGGGGAGGCGCUCGCCGCCUCCUCGGCCCCACCGGCCUCUUCCCUCUCGCCCCCCGGGCGCGUCGGUCGCUGGCCGGAAUACGGCGCGGGUGACCCCCAGGAAAACAAAAAAGCUGAAGGAGCCGCCAGCCCUUCGACGGUUGGCCCGGUUGCUUAGGCCAAUGAAAAAAAAAUAUGACUCUUGGCAACGGGAUAUCUCGGCUCUCGCAUCGAUGAAGAACGUAGCGAAAUGCGAUACGUGGUGUGAAUUGCAGAAUCCCGUGAACCAUCGAGUCUUUGAAACGCAAGUUGCGCCCGAGGGACCCUCCCGAGGGCACGCCUGCCUCAUGGGCGUUAGAAGCCCAUCCACGCUCGGUUGCCUCACGGCAGAGAUGCGGACAUUGGCCCUCCGAACCCCGAAGGCGCGGUGGGCCUAAGUGUGCGGCCGUCGUACGUGGCCGGGAGCGGGGAGUGGUGGGGUACUCUGCGCACGUCACCCCGAGCUCCGUACCGACGCAGGGCCUUGUUUGAUCCCCUAACGAGGAGCAUGCCGUCGCGGCCUGCGCCGCGCGGCGCCUUCGGACCGAUACCCCAGUCAGGCGGGUACCAGUUGGAUC
This 658-nucleotide ribosomal RNA is filed under the name Carex littledalei. Its description in RNAcentral is "eukaryotic LSU rRNA". The stretch from base 239 to 395 matches the Rfam family "5.8S ribosomal RNA". The record is from RNAcentral. Lineage: Eukaryota; Viridiplantae; Streptophyta; Magnoliopsida; Poales; Cyperaceae.